CGUGUGGGGAGGGCGGUGUGAGCCCACUGAGUUUUGCUGGGGUACCACAGAAGCCCCAAAGCUGGGAGAGGGGUCGGCCUGUAGGGCUGUCAGCAAGGAAAGGUGAAACGGGGCUGGGAAUGAGCACCUUUAAAAGCAUAUAGAGACAUGAAGCACUUGAACAAAAUCCGUGGAUGGAGACGUGUGCUGGGCUCUGAGCUUGUGCAGGUUAUUUCGAAAGAAGGGAGGGCCCUUGAGAUAAUAGCAGGGAGCUUAGCAGUGUGUUUGUGCACACCUGUUUGCAUCCAGCCUGUGUACGUGCAGCCUGACUGAGGCAGUGUGGAGAUCAGUGCGUGCUAUGGACUGGGUUUCUGUUGGAAUAAGGGUGAGCCCCUCUCUGGAGAAGAUGGCAUCAGCCGUGAGCGUUGGUGCAGUUAGAGUGGAAUGGUCUUUGUGCCGGGGUGCUGGGGAGGGGCAGCUCACCUUUGCUGCCGUGCUUCUCCUCCCUUCACACAGCAUAACAGCAGCUGCUGGAGCAUGGGAUGAAAUCUUGGAGCUGAUCAACUGUACAACAGCAGUUCUUCUCCAACCCCUUUGGCCUCUAAAAUGUAGGAUUCCUCUUUCAACCUUCAUUCCGUUCAGCUGAAAUCGGUAGAGUUUUACUGCUGGAGUAAUAAUGCAGCAGCAGAUGAUGUAAUGAAUCACAAUGGAUGGCAAACCUGCACGUUUUAGACUAUACGUUUAAGUCAUCUGUGUCGUCAUCUGUCAUCAGCAUUGCAUAACCUGUUGACUGUCCCCUUUUUAUGUAAUUUAGAAACUUGUAAGACACCAUUUUGGUAGCUGGGUCCAUCCGAGUGCUACGUUUUCUCUUCUAGAAACAAUCUCCGUGACAUCUCUGGAUGUGCCCUUCCCAGGAAAGCCGAUUUUCUUGUGACAUAUCUCAGCUGUCAUUCUGGAUGGAUUUGUUCCACCCCAGUGGUUCUCAGGCUUUUUCAGCAGGAAAGUCCCUUUUCCCAUCUGGAGGCUGUCGCUCUCCCACCCACGUUCUGCCUGAGAAGAGCUGCAGUUCUGCUCCUGUGAUAGCUCCUCAGGGCUGUGGUUCUGCAGACCAGAACAGCGGCUCUGCACCUGGCUCUCGUCCAUCAGCCAUCCUUUUAAGGGGAGAAGCAAGCUGCUACCUGCUUCUGAUAGCAGUGGGAUAAAAGACAUCCAUUGUCUGCUAGCACUGAACCUUGGAACCAGGUGGAGCUUUGGUCUUUUCCCAUUUUUUUUAAAGAUUUUUGUUUGUUAACGUGACUUGCCAUACAGCAGGAAGCAUCAGUACCAAAAGACUUCAAUUUGUUUAUACUGAGAGGGAAAAGAAUCCCUCCCAGCAGAGUUCCAAGCACGCCGUUGUUGUUCCAAAGUCCAGCAGUGCCACAUAUGAAUCAGACACUGUUUUAGUUACUGCUCAUUCAAACUGUCUCUGAGUAGCGCAGAGCAGCUCCACUUGAACUUUAGUCCAGGCCUUCUUGAUUAAACAUUUUUAUAAAUCAAGUAGCCUAAUUGCAAAGCCUUGGUAAGUGCAAGUCUCAGAGGUACCAGAAUGUAACGAUGACAAACUCGGUUUUAGGUCAGGUCAGGCAGUUUCUGAAUGUGAGCUUAGAAAUGUUGGGCAAAGCUGAAUAAGUAAAACAAGCUGGUGAAGAUUCUGGUGAAGCCUACUGGCUUGAUGGGAAAUGUGACCAGCUCGGCCCUGCUGUGUUAUUUUUCUUCACAUCUAGAGGUACCAUCCCAGCACACCACCUCCAGCAAAUUCUCCUCUGCUUCAGCUGCCUGCAAGGUUUCAUGAGUGUGAAGAGAAUUCGACAUUCAUUGAUUACAGAUAUGCUCAGCUCAACGGCGGCAAUAUUUUCACUUUCUAGCAUAAAAUGGGAUCGAUGUGUUCCACUCUAGCUAUUCCCAACAGAGUGCUGUCAUUACCUUCUUGCAUCCGUUGCCAGGUGAGGGGGUCCUUUUCCACUUGGAGCAAACAUACGCAGUAACAGUGAUGGCAACAACACGUGCCUCUUACUGAGAAAAGAAGCCCCCAUGUGCACUAUGUGAUCAUUUUUUCCUUCUACAUACAAUGUUUCUGCCUCUGUAUGUUACAUUGCUCAUGCUAAAACCGUGUGCGUGUGGCGAGGAGGAAUUUGGGUGCUGCGGAACGUUUUUGAGCUGAAACAAACCCUGGGUUUUUGGCAGUAUCGUGAUUCUCAAAGGGAAACAGUGACUUUAAUCGAUGUCUGAUUGAGGACAGAACUACGCAACAGGAACUGAGUGUUCCAGUGUGGUGUAAUGUCAGAGUUACUGCUGUCGGUUGUGUGCAGGCAGAUGAUAAACUCUGCACUGGGUGACUUGGUAUCUAACUUGCUCUUCAUAACAUGUCUCAAGAGGGCCAUGGAGGUAUGUGUGGAUGAAUAUACUCUAAUGCAAGGUCAUGCGAUUGUAUUGUGCUAAUAUUACGUUUUCUGGGACCAAACCCUGCUGGAGCCACAGGUGGGACCUUCUUUGACUCCAGCUUUGGCUCAGACACAUGCUUUUCUUCAGAUGGUGGGUGAAAUUCUGGUUCUCAUCUCCAUUUCCCCAUUGACUUCAAGAGGAUCAGGGCUGCACUUAGUCUCUUGUUUAAAGCUACAUGGGGAUGUUCAUCUGAUCAUGGGAAAAGCCUCAUUCAACUGCAGCAGAAAUUAGGUAAACAAGAGGUAUGACUUCAGGGUGUGACCUGGAGGUGGGCAUGGUAGGGGGCCUCUUUCUGCCUAGAUCCCUCGAGCAACCUCCAAACACAGAGAUGUGUUGGCACUGUAAAUUCCAACUUCUGAGCUAAAAUAGCCCCUCCGUGGUACCUCUGGCAGUGGCUGGUGGGUACAUUGCUCCUGACUCAGGCAAAAACACUUUGCUGUUAAGUCAAGUGCUUGUGUGGGGCUUGGGAGGGAUGGAAAAGGCAGGUGGUUAUCAGUGGCCCCACAGCUGCUGUUAGAUUUCUCCCCAUGGUGAGCCAGAGAGCUCGCUAUUGACCGACCUCCAUUUUAAUUAACUCCAGAAGCUGGCAGAGUACACUGAAUAAUUCAAGAGAGACAUGUUUAAACAUUUGCACAAGCCUCAGAUUCCUCCUGGCUAAAAAUAAGCCUGUGAGAAAGAAAACGAUUCUCAUUCGAGGUGCCAGCAGAUGGACAGCAGAGGCACAGACCCCGUCCCAACACCAUCGUGUUGCUGCUCCCAGGAGGACAUCAGCCGUGGGUCUUAUCCCCACUGCUGGGAUCUGCAUGGGGGUGGUGCAAAGCAAAGAGAUGAACUCACAGAUGCCCUUUGAGGUCAGCAUUUUGGAGCACACGAGCAUAAGUGGUUCUUCCACAGGGAAGCGGAGCAGAGGGGUCUGUGCCUUUCCCACUAUAGCUGGGCACCAAUGGGCAGGGCUAACAUGCAAGGCUCCAUGCUGAUGUUCUGCUGAGUGUCUGAGACUGCCUGCCAGUUUAGUGCGUUAUAUAUAUAAGAUACAUUGGCUUCGUAUCCCCAGGGUGACAAAAAAUGUAAUGAGUUCUUUUUCCAUUGUGUGCAGAACAACAGCUUCUCAGGGCAGCGUGUGAUACUGCCCCCCCAGCAGCCAAAGCCUCGCUGCGUUCUGGGGUUAAAUGCAGUGCUCCAGGGGACUCUGGAAAUUAAAGCCCCCAGAGGUUAUUGCUAAUGAAACCUAAUUAAAUUUGGAUGUAAAUGUAACGUGCUGCUGCUGUUGCAUUUGCAUCUAGCUUCUGAUGGUUUACAUAUGUAUGUAUGUGAAUUAUAUAAGUACGUAUACUUGUAAGCAUGCAAACAAGCAUCUAUGCAUGAUCAAGUGCUUCUCACUCUGGUGGUGUGGCUGCAGCGUGCCAGCACCAAACUCAUAGAAUCAUAGGAUGGCCUGGGUUGAAANAUUUGAAAUGUUUUAAUACAAAAUCACAUCCUUCCGUAGGAUGGUAUGCUGUGGUGAGUGCAGGCUGGAGGGCUGGAGCAUUUAGCCUGCUUUCCCAAGGGAACAGGUUUCUGAAACUGCUGUCUGUCUGUCAGUCUGUCUGUCUGUCCUCACUGACAGCUUUUCAACUCGACAGUCACUUCCAGUCAGCUUAGCAGCAAGGCAGAGGUGUUGAAGUAGUAAAUUCCUAAAGAUUUUUGAGAAGUUGAUAGCUGGAAAGAGCAGAGAGAUGGAAAUCGGUGCUGCUCCACUGUGGAAGAUGGGCAGCCCUGUUGUUACGUUUGGGGGUGGGCUGGAAAUUAUUAACAUAAUUUUGGAUUAAUUUCUAGAAGCACGUCGAUUUCACCCCAAUUAGGACAUCACAGAACAACCAAUAGAAAUCAGCAGACAACACUGCCCUGAAACUAAGGGGAAAAAGUGAAAAGCUCACAUUGCAGGCAGGGCUAAAAGACUAAAGGCACAAUUUCUACAAGGGUCCAAGUGCCAAAGGAGCCCGGUUCCAUGUGUUAAAUGCAGGUGUGUGAGCACACAAGAACUAAAUUCUCACUGAAGGACGUGGCUCUUGGGAGCCUGGGUCAUCCCUGGGCGUGGGCUCAGGCUUUGGGUGCUCAUUUAGACAGUGGCAGAGGUAAAGCUGCUGUCUGAGCUGUGGCCACUGAAAGCAGCCCCGGAUUAAGCCCCUUAUGCAAUCCUUCCGUCACAGCCACCUCCUCAGCUUUGGUUUGAUUUGUAGCUCUGAGCUGGAUUUAAGGACGUUUACAGCAUCAACAACUGUGCUAGGAAACGAGUCCUGAAAGUGAAGCAUAACUAAUACAGAUCUGGUAUGUUAUUGAGCAUGGAAACCCACCACGGGAAACUGACCAUGCAAGGCAAAGCCAUGCAGAGGACUAACAAGAGUGGAAACAAACCAGUGGGAGUGCAGCCCCAGUGGGCAGAGCAGGAGAGCAAGGAAAGGUUGGGGCUUUCUGAGGGCCACGGCACGGCUGCACAAGCUGCCAAUUGCAGUCACAGAUUUGAUCUCUCUCCCUCCAACCUCAGCAAAAUGGGUGAGACUGAUACUUCGUGCAGGGCGCUGGUAACGCAGAGCCGGUGAUGCCCCAUGGCAGGGGAAGACGAACACCCUGCAAUACAAUCCAAACCGUGCUUCACAGGCUCCCUGGCAGCUCUGAAAGCAGGGGUGGGGAAUGGCCGGCUUGUUUCCUCUGUGAGAGAGGAAAACAAUGAACGAUUAUCUAUCUAUAGUGUGUAAACUACAACCACACGGAUGCACGUUUGUGCCGUCACGUGCAAUCAGCCCCCCCACCUGGCUGCGGGGUGGGAGAUUAGCAAGGAGAUAAGGCUGGAGGAUCAAGACAGCCCAAGUGUGAGGCAGGCAGGCUGGGAGCAAUGUGUGUUGGUGUAUGAACAGCCCAUAGCAGCCGGCCAUUGCACACCCACGUGCUGCGGGUGCAUGAGAAGACUGACAAAAAGAUGCUAUCAGCGUGCUCUGAUUAAACUGACGUGAAUUACAUGAAAUUGGCAUUGUGUUGGAAGCUGUCACACUUACCAGGGCGUG
Pavo cristatus (Indian peafowl) is the source of this 5501-nucleotide long non-coding RNA. The record is from Ensembl. NCBI's taxonomy places the organism in Eukaryota, Metazoa, Chordata, Aves, Galliformes, Phasianidae.